CAGUAGCCGCGGUAAUACGUAGGGUGCGAGCGUUAAUCGGAAUUACUGGGCGUAAAGCGUGCACAGGCGGUUUGUUAAGUCAGAUGUAAAAUCCCCGAGCUUAACUUGGGAACUGCAUUUGAAACUGGCAAGCUAGAGUCUUGUAGAGGGGGGUAGAAUUCCAGGUGUAGCGGUGAAAUGCGUAGAGAUCUGGAGGAAUACCGGUGGCGAAGGCGGCCCCCUGGACAAAGACUGACGCUCAGGUGCGAAAGCGUGGGGAGCAAACAGGAUUAGAUACCCCUGUAGUCCCUGUCUCUUAUAC
This 301-nucleotide ribosomal RNA is filed under the name uncultured bacterium. RNAcentral describes it as "partial 16S ribosomal RNA". It matches the Rfam family "Bacterial small subunit ribosomal RNA", at positions 509 to 807 of the family's 1533-position model. The record is from RNAcentral.